UACGAAGGGGGCUAGCGUUGCUCGGAAUGACUGGGCGUAAAGGGCGCGUAGGCGGUUUGUACAGUCAGAUGUGAAAUUCCUGGGCUUAACCUGGGGGCUGCAUUUGAUACGUGCAGACUUGAGUGAGGAAGAGGGUUGUGGAAUUCCAGGUGUAGCGGUGAAAUGCGUAGAUAUCUGGAGGAAUACCGGUGGCGAAGGCGGCAUCCUGGACCGACAUUGACGCUGAGGAGCGAAAGCUAGGGGAGCAAACGGG
RNAcentral lists this ribosomal RNA (253 nucleotides) under uncultured bacterium. RNAcentral's name for it is "partial 16S ribosomal RNA". It matches the Rfam family "Bacterial small subunit ribosomal RNA", at positions 524 to 776 of the family's 1533-position model. The record is from RNAcentral.